UACAAGUUUAACUAAUCUUUUUUUAUUGUAUUCUGCGUCUGAGCCUCGCGAAUGCAAAAGUCAAUCUUAUCAUCAUAUAUAAUCAGCAUUAAAUAUGCUGAUUUGGACGAUAUGUUUCAUAUGUACAAAUUCUUUAUCUAUCACGACUCAUAAAAACUUCAAGCCGAAGUCACUUGCAAAGAUCUACAAGUAUACAAUCAUCCUCAUUAAUCGAUAUUAUUGAUCAGUUUUCUGGAGAGUAAUCGUAAGUAUGUAAGUAGUAAUGUGGAAUUGCAGUUGUGACAAACAAUUUCAUUCGAUUACUGAAAAUGCCUGCCAGUUGGGAUGAUGCUUAUAAUGCAUCAGAAUUUUGUGAACCGCUAUCGUUUUAGAGCACGUAAUUAAAUUCGGCAAAAUUG
Long non-coding RNA from Dendroctonus ponderosae (mountain pine beetle), 398 nucleotides. RefSeq lists it as uncharacterized. NCBI's taxonomy places the organism in Eukaryota, Metazoa, Arthropoda, Insecta, Coleoptera, Curculionidae. The record is from RefSeq and is a predicted model, not a curated record. The transcript is spliced from 2 exons.